UGGGCUGUUCCUCUAGUGAGCAUUGACUAA
RNAcentral lists this non-coding RNA (30 nucleotides) under Rattus norvegicus (Norway rat). Lineage: Eukaryota; Metazoa; Chordata; Mammalia; Rodentia; Muridae. The record is from RNAcentral.